UAAAUUCUCAUGGGUUGGUUCUUUGGGUAUGCAACACCUAGAGACUCAGCAUUCUUGAAUUCUCUGAUCGGUGUACCAUCCACAGAAAAGCUGAAAUGGGAGCACAAAUAAGUCAGAAAAACGAGACGAUAUCGUCUAAAUGUGAGGUGUUUGGUAACUGUGAAAUUACUUACAUGAUGCGUUGGGGAUUCCAGAGGAUGGAAUAGGUGUGAAAAUCUGCAGUCGGGUCGAACCAGAGAUAGAAUUGCUGCUCCCUGUUGCCCUUUCCUUGGCCAAACACAUUGGUGUGAAGAAUAUAAGGAUCCCCACUCAGGUUUCCCAAGAACUCGAAGUCUAUCUCAUCAUGGGUUGAUCCUUGAGAUGACAACUGCACAAUACAUAACACAAUAUUAGUUAUAACUUCCCAUCUAUAGUAUCAAGGAAGAAAAAAAGCUAAAAUAUCGUCCAGCUUACAUAAUAGGCAGUGACGGUGCCAGCAGAAUUUCCAGGUACGAGUUUGAGUUGCAUAUCAAUCUUGCCAAAUAGAUACUCAUUCUUGGAUUGAAAUCCAGAGCCAGAAAUUUUAUCAAGUGAGAGAGUCAGAAGUUCUCCAUUGUUGAGUAUCUUAGCUCUUCCAUCUCCCCAUGUGAUAUCAAAAUCUUGAUGGAAAUUACCUCCAAGUGCUAUUACAAAACAGCUACUUAUAACUAAAACUAAAGAAACUGAAUUCAAAGAAGCCAUUAUUGAAGAGUUGAAUUGCGUUGGCAAAGUAUAAUGAAUAAAUCUAAGAAGAUUUGGUGUUUAAGAUUGUUGUUUGAUGUUGGAAUAGGAUCCAUUCAAGGGUAUUUAUAGGGAGUUUGUGGGGUCUGUAGAAAUUGCAGGGAGGGUUCCAUAAAUUCAAGUUGUGUGGUGAAAAGUGUUUGAGCUGGAUACAGAUAUUGGCCAAAACGAGUUGCUGUCAACAGUUUUUUGUAUAUCCAGUGACAACCCAUUUCGCCUUUUAAUAUUUAUUAUUAAUACCACAGUCUACACUGUUCUGAUAAUAUUGUCCUAAGUGUAAGCUUUUGACUAGAGUACAACUGAUUUACCUUUCAAAUAGUAAUACCUCUACAAUUUAAAAUAGAUAUCGAUUCAUUUACAUACUGAUACAUCUAUAAUUCAAAGGAAUCAAACCGGACAAGAUCCAAAAUCGCUCGAUUUGCUCCAAUUAAAUUUUCCAUUGUCUACAGAACCUACUUGUCCAUUUUGAAAUUCUCAAUGGGAUUUGGUUCGGUUCAAGUUCUCAAGAAACUCAGGUUGAACAAGCUGGUAUCCACCCCUAAUAUUAAUUACUUUAAAGGUCCUUACCUUUAUCAUUUUCUUAUUUACAUCUUUAACUUUUUCAUCACAUCUUUAUUUUUAACAUUUCCUUAGCUAGCAAAUAUUAUCCUUAAUCGCAAUUUUCUUGCACAAAUGUUAUUAACGUGCUCUAAAAUGAGGAAUAAAUAUAUAGUUGUAAUUCUAUUUUUUUGGCUUAUUUAAAAAUACAAUGGUAAAUGUCUUUAUUUUAUUUGGACAAAAACCGCAAUAAGGGACAAGUUGUGUUAAUUUGAGAAUAAGAAUACAGUUUUAAAAAAUUAAGACAUAAAUGUGAUAAUGAUUAAAUAUUACAAACAUUUUCAUGCAAUCAAAAUGUGUUGUAAUUAUUAAAAAAUAUUUUGUGAAUAUAUUUAGCUUUACUAAAUAAUCACACACUGAAUAGAAGUUUUGGUUUAAGACAUAUUUCGUUUUCUUUAAGUUUAUCGAUUCAGCUCAAUCAAUUAUCAACAACCCUCAAAUUUGUUACUUAGCCCCUGUUUGAGCCACAUUUUUACUUCAUUAAAAUGAAAAAUAUGACCGUUAUUCAUCACAUCAAGCCACAAUUUUUGAAUUUCUAUCUCUGGUGUGGGGGCCCAUAACGGUUCUAUUUCUCAUUCUCAUUCUCAUUAUAAUGUGGCUCAAAUAGGCUCUUAAUAAUAAAUGUUUUAGCAUUAAACUAAUCAAAUAAGCCAUUAAUUUUUCAAUAGAGAUUUUAAAUUUUGAAAUAGACAUCAUCAAAUUGUAUUUGGUUCUUUAUUAGUGUUAUAACUUUUUUAUUUUUACAUUCUAAAAAAUAUAUAAUAAUAAUCGUUAUCUAGGUUUCCUCCAGAUAUCAUUAUUGGAUUCGGUAAAGAGAUCUGGCCACUGAAUUCACCAUUGUUCUUGUCCUACAUUGACAUUUAUUUUGUGGACUUUGGCUUUACUAGUUUUAUUGUUGUCUAGUUACAAUCUAUGCAUUACGCUCUAUUGGUUACUCUAUUUCAAAUCCAUUUAUAAAAAUUCUUUAGUUUUUUGAGAAAAACAUUAGUUCGAUCUAGAAAGAUUUGAUUAAAGUGAAGGUGAUCGACGACGAUGAGUUCACUUUUGCUUUUGUUACAAGGGAUUUCCGGAGAAUUUGAUUAAGCCCCUGUUUUCUUGAAAUUAAAAUAAAUAAAUAAAUAAAUAAAUAAAUUUUUAGUAGAUUUUGAUAAAAGUUGAUUAAAUAUGUGGUUGAAAAGUUGUGAAUCUAAUGAAAUGUAUAAUUAAAGAGUUUAACUCGUAUUUUAAUUAUUUUUUAGCUGAGCCAAAAAGAGGGCUAAAUUUUAGAAACUUCCCUCGUUGAUAUAAGAGAUUUUUGGGAAUUUUAGGAGUGUCUUAAGUAUUAGAUGUGACUCAUGCCUUAUAAUCGUUUGGAGGCGGGUCAAGUAACUUUGGUGCAAUAGGUCGAGUCUUGUGUUAACAUUAACAAUAUUAGUGUUGAUUAUUAAAUUGAAAAUUAUUUGAAUGGAAUAAAGCCUCGAAGGGGAUUAUCGAUUGUACUACCAAAAGUGUGACACAAUGAACUUUCGCCAAUAAUUAUUCACAAAAUAUAUUUCAGGUCCACUCAAGCUCUCUCAACGCGGAUUGUUUAUAAAUGUGGCCCCCUUGGCCUUAUAAAAAUAAACCUCAAUAGAAUUGAACUUAUAUAAAUGUACCUCAUUUUAUGAUCAUGAUCAAUUUGAUCAUAUGUAUAAUAUUAACUCUCAGAAUUCUCUACAUAGAUAUUUACAUGAAAGAUUUUAGAAAGUUUGUAUACAAUUACGAAAUUAGCCACUUCAAAUAGGUUCAUUGCUCCAGCUCAAAAUACGAUUAAUCCGACGUUGGCUAUAUAAGCUCCUAGUAGUUUACCGAAUAAUUAAUAACUCGAGCAUUCCCGGCCCACCAAGCAAAAUCGGUGAUUUCUUGGUCAUGAUCAAUUACAGCUAAAGUUCCAAUUUACAUAAUUUCCUUUUAAAAAUCUUCAGUCACAAUCUUUGCACAAUACAAUCCAUUUUCACGCGUCUCUUAACCUUUUAGAAUAAUUAUACAAAAGACUUUCACAAGUAUACUUUCAAAUUACCCCCAACGCAUAUCUAUCAAUGAAUCCCAUUAAGUAAUGUUGUUGAUAAUCCUGCACAAUAAUCAACGAACAAAAAGCAGUAAAUUUAAAAGUUUUUGUAAAAUUGACUAUUGUUUCAAUUUUUUCUCAAAUGUAAUAACAAAAAUUGAUGAAAUUUUGCAGGUGUCAUCAAUGAAAUAAUUUAUAGCAUUCUUCAACAUAGAUUAUGUUAAAUAUUCUUGAAAGAAUGAGAAUUUCAAGAUAUUUUUUGUGGUUAAAUCACCUCACUUUUUCAAACUUAGAAAUCUCCAUUAUUAGCAAUAGUUCCAAUAUCAAUCAUAAUGAAAAAAAGAUUAUUAUCAACAAUCUAUGUUAGAAUUUAUUGAAUGAAAUUAAACUCCAUAAAAUAAAAGAAAGAGGCACUCCAUGAUUGGAGGAGAAGAAACCUCCAUGAAAGGAGGGAUUGGAAUUCCACAAUACAAUUAUUUAUUAAUGAAUACAAUCACUCCAUUUAUAGAGAAAAAAGAUGAGUAAUUAACUGACUAAUUUGCUAAUUAACAGGCUAAUCACUAACUAAUUAACAUCCUAGACAUGAGCUGAAAUAUUCGAAAUUUGCUGUAACAUAUUUCUAACACACCCCCUCAAGAUGGACUAUAGAUAUCAACAAUAGUUCAUCUUGAAGAUUAAAGAGUGUACUGGAGGGAAAAACCAUGAUGAAUAGCCUUGCAGAACAAAUCUCUUGAAUCCAUAUAUAUGAGCAUCCAUUAGAUCAGCACGAAACAUCACCAAACAUUCCAUUCCCAUUCCAUUUCGUGCCAGUGCACAAUGCUUUCAGAGUUGAGGAGACUUGUUUUGUAUGGAAAACUUGGUAAGGUUCAUAAUGUAGAAAGGGAUGAUGUUCUCAAUGGAAGCAAACUGGCGGGUCAUUAGAUUUCACCAGAUCUGAUGGAUAAACAAGACUUAGUGUAGGCUUUGACCAUCCAUAAAGAUCUUUGAAAGUUUAGAGAACCAAAAUCUGAAAGAGAAGAAAUUUUAUUGUAGAGAAUCAAGGACGAAUUUUGAUGUUGCUGGCGCCAUUUUCUGAAGACGGGAACUGAACUUUUGCUGGAAUAACACUUUCCAGAAUUAUGCUAAAAUAGAAGAAAUUAGAGAUCUGUUUUCAUUUGUACAGAACACAGAAAGAGGGGAUGAAAAUCUCAAAAAAACACAGCAACAGGAAGAACUCUGCUCUGAUACUAUGUUAGAAUUUAUUGAAUGAAAUUAAACUCCAUAAAGCAGAAGAAAGAGGCACUCCAUGAUUGGAGGAGACGAAACCUCCAUGAAAGGAGGGAUUGGAAUUCCACAAUCCAAUUAUUUAUUAAUGAAUACAAUGACUCCAUUUAUAGAGAAAAAAUAUGAGUAAUUAACUGACUAAUUUGCUAAUUAACAGGUUAAUCACUAACUAAUUAACAUCCUAGACAUGAGCUGGAAUAUUCUAAAUUUGCUGUAACAUAUUUCUAACAAUCUAGGUACCAAAUUUGGUGAAUUUUCAUACCAAAUUUGUGGUUCUAGCUACUUUCAAUUUUGAUGGUAUUUCCUAUACGAAUUUUCACAAUUUUUCUUGCCACAUUUUUUCUCUCGUCCAAGACAAGACAUGAAAGUUGAGGAAGGUUGCGAGAAGUUAUAAGUUUAAAUUCCAAAUUCAAACCACUCCAACCCGUGGAGUUUCACUUGAUAGUUUUAUGAAGUUUUCACUUGAACGUUGUAAACCAAAAUACUAUUUACAAGUGCAACAUAAAAUUGGACAGGGAGCAUGAAAAACGAGGUGCUUGCAAGGCAAUGUGAAAUAAGAGAGAGUAACAGUGACUGAAAAUUUUAUGGUCAAUUUUGUGAUAGCUGAUGUUCAUAUUGGACUUGUAUGAUUUAUAAAAUUAUCAUUAAUUCAUAAUUUCCCAAUCGUCUUUUGCUAAUAAUAUAUUCUAAUGUAUAUAAACUUGUUAAGGACUUGCAUGUAAAUAGUUAUGUAAUUUUUUAACUUUCAUGUCAGUUUGCCCCCAUUUGGUGGCCAUUAUUGAAAGAAAAUGAUGUUUUGAAUAGUGAUUUUUUUUGGAAAAUACGUGAUUAAAUUUUAGUUAAAUGUCUGAAAGAAAGCAAAGGAACAUGUGAUAACUUUCCAAUAUGUUGAUCUGUCGGGAAAAAUUAUAUAGACUCUAAAAUUAUUUCCAACUGGGGAUGCUAAUAAUAUAUUCUAAUGUAUAUAAACUUUUAUUUCUUACAGAUGAUUACAAGUAAAAGAACAAAAGAAUUACUACUUUACUAGACUCCAAACAAAUCAAUAAAUGUAAUAUUCCUGUGCCUAAAUUAAUCAAACUUCAGAAAAUUAAUUCUUUUUAAGCUGAGGUGUUAAUACUACACUCUGGAGGAAAUCCUUGCGAGAAUCGCUUUGAAUCAGAGCAAUAAUUAUAUAUCAUGUAAUUUUUCUGCACCCAUUUUAGCCUCUCUUGGCUUGUGGAAUCCAAUUCUUCAUUCAGCCAUGAAUUGCUGCUACUUGAAGUAGAAGAUGGAGUGCAAGAAGAUGAACCCGAUGAGGACGAAACACAUGCAUCUGCAUUGAAAUUUCUGUAGGAUGCAGUAAACGGAGCCUGACUCCAGUCGGUUUUCACAAGCCCCCCUCUUGUUGCCCAAUCGUCAGCAUUCCACAAGCUAGAGUAAAUUCUCAUGGGUUGGUUCUUUGGGUAUGCAACACCUAGAGACUCAGCAUUCUUGAAUUCUCUGAUCGGUGUACCAUCCACAGAAAAGCUGAAAUGGGAGCACAAAUAAGUCAGAAAAACGAGACGAUAUCGUCUAAAUGUGAGGUGUUUGGUAACUGUGAAAUUACUUACAUGAUGCGUUGGGGAUUCCAGAGGAUGGAAUAGGUGUGAAAAUCUGCAGUCGGGUCGAACCAGAGAUAGAAUUGCUGCUCCCUGUUGCCCUUUCCUUGGCCAAACACAUUGGUGUGAAGAAUAUAAGGAUCCCCACUAAGGUUUCCCAAGAACUCGAAGUCUAUCUCAUCAUGGGUUGAUCCUUGAGAUGACAACUGCACAAUACAUACACAAUAUUAGUUAUAACUUCCCAUCUAUAGUAUCAAGAAAGAAAAAAAGCUAAAAUAUCGUCCAGCUUACAUAAUAGGCAGUGACGGUGCCAGCAGAAUUUCCAG
RNAcentral lists this long non-coding RNA (6548 nucleotides) under Olea europaea (common olive). RNAcentral's name for it is "long non-coding RNA (OEUR_LNC015172)". The record is from RNAcentral. Lineage: Eukaryota; Viridiplantae; Streptophyta; Magnoliopsida; Lamiales; Oleaceae.